UACAGAGGUGCCAAGCGUUAGGCGGAAUCACUGGGCUUAAAGCGUGUGUAGGCGGACUUUUAAGUGCCUUGUGAAAUCCCACGGCUCAACCGUGGAACUGCUGGGUAUACUGGAAGUCUUGAGCCACCUAGGGGCCAGCGGAACAAAUGGUGGAGCGGUGAAAUGCGUAGAUAUCAUUUGGAACGCCGAUGGUGAAAACAGCUGGCUGGGGGUGUGCUGACGCUGAGACACGAAAGCUAGGGGAGCAGACGGG
This 253-nucleotide ribosomal RNA is filed under the name uncultured bacterium. RNAcentral's name for it is "partial 16S ribosomal RNA". It matches the Rfam family "Bacterial small subunit ribosomal RNA", at positions 524 to 776 of the family's 1533-position model. The record is from RNAcentral.